Molecule: ribosomal RNA, 419 nt
Filed under: uncultured Prevotella sp.
Lineage: Bacteria; Pseudomonadati; Bacteroidota; Bacteroidia; Bacteroidales; Prevotellaceae
Description: bacterial SSU rRNA
Rfam family: Bacterial small subunit ribosomal RNA
Source: RNAcentral
GGAAUAUUGGUCAAUGGGCGAGAGCCUGAACCAGCCAAGUAGCGUGCAGGAUGACGGCCCUAUGGGUUGUAAACUGCUUUUAUACAGGGAUAAAGUGACGUACGUGUACGUUUUUGUAGGUACUGUAUGAAUAAGGACCGGCUAAUUCCGUGCCAGCAGCCGCGGUAAUACGGAAGGUCCGGGCGUUAUCCGGAUUUAUUGGGUUUAAAGGGAGCGCAGGCUGAUUAUUAAGCGUGACGUGAAAUGUAGCCGCUCAACGGCUGAACUGCGUCGCGAACUGGUAGUCUUGAGUGAGUUCGACGCGGACGGAAGUCGUGGUGUAGCGGUGAAAUGCUUAGAUAUCACGAAGAACUCCGAUUGCGAAGGCAGCCAACAAGGCCUUUACUGACGCUAAAGCUCGAAGGUGCGGGUAUCGAACA